Non-coding RNA from Catenaria anguillulae PL171, 74 nucleotides. Lineage: Eukaryota; Fungi; Blastocladiomycota; Blastocladiomycetes; Blastocladiales; Catenariaceae. The record is from Rfam.
GUCUUCGUGGUGUAGUUGGUUAUCACGUCUGUCUAACACACAGACGGUCUCCAGUUCGAAUCUGGACGAAGACA